AGGGUUUGAUCAUGGCUCAGAACGUACGCUGGCGGCACGCCUAACACAUGCAAGUCGAACGAAGUAGCAAUACUUAGUGGCAGACGGGUGAGUAACAUGUAGGUAUCUGCCCUUUGGCCUGGAAUAACACGAGGAAACUUGUGCUAAUACCGGAUAAGUCUUUACGGAGAAAGCUUUAUGCACCAUUGGAUGAGCCUGCACUUGAUUAGUUUGUUGGUGGGGUAAUGGCCUACCAAGACUGUGAUCAAUAGCUGAUUUGAGAGGAUGAUCAGCCACAUUGGGACUGAGACACGGCCCAAACUCCUACGGGAGGCAGCAGUGGGGAAUCUUGCACAAUGGAGGAAACUCUGAUGCAGCGAUGCCGCGUGAGUGAAGAAGGCCCUUGGGUUGUAAAGCUCUUUCGUCGGGGAAGAAAAUGACUGUACCCGAAUAAGAAGGUCCGGCUAACUUCGUGCCAGCAGCCGCGGUAAUACGAAGGGACCUAGCGUAGUUCGGAAUUACUGGGCUUAAAGAGUUCGUAGGUGGUUGAAAAAGUUAGUGGUGAAAUCCCAGAGCUUAACUCUGGAACUGCCAUUAAAACUUUUCAGCUAGAGUAUGAUAGAGGAAAGCAGAAUUUCUAGUGUAGAGGUGAAAUUCGUAGAUAUUAGAAAGAAUACCAAUUGCGAAGGCAGCUUUCUGGAUCAUUACUGACACUGAGGAACGAAAGCAUGGGUAGCGAAGAGGAUUAGAUACCCUCGUAGUCCAUGCCGUAAACGAUGUGUGUUAGACGUUGGAAAUUUAUUUUCAGUGUCGCAGGGAAACCGAUAAACACACCGCCUGGGGAGUACGACCGCAAGGUUAAAACUCAAAUGAAUUGACGGGGACCCGCACAAGUAGUGGAGCAUGUGGUUUAAUUCGAAGAUACGCGCAGAACCUUACCAACACUUGACAUGUUCGUCGCGACUCUAAGAGAUUAGAGUUUUCGGUUCGGCCGGACGAAACACAGGUGCUGCAUGGCUGUCGUCAGCUCGUGUCGUGAGAUGUUGGGUUAAGUCCCGCAACGAGCGCAACCCUCACUUUUAGUUGCCAUCAUUAAGUUGGGCACUCUGAAAGAACUGCCAGUGAUAAGCUGGAGGAAGGUGGGGAUGACGUCAAGUCCUCAUGGCCCUUACGUGUUGGGCUACACACGUGCUACAAUGGUAUCUACAACAGGAAGCAAGACUGCGAAGUUAAGCAAAUCCCUAAAAGAUACCUCAGUUCGGAUUGCACUCUGCAACUCGAGUGCAUGAAGCUGGAAUUACUAGUAAUCGUGGAUCAGCGUGCCACGGUGAAUGCGUUCCCGGGUCUUGUACACACCGCCCGUCACACCAUGGGAGUAGGUUUCACCAGAAG
RNAcentral lists this ribosomal RNA (1371 nucleotides) under uncultured bacterium. RNAcentral describes it as "bacterial SSU rRNA". It matches the Rfam family "Bacterial small subunit ribosomal RNA". The record is from RNAcentral.